UUUUUUUUUUUUUUUUUUUUUUUUUUUUG
RNAcentral lists this non-coding RNA (29 nucleotides) under Prorocentrum micans. The record is from RNAcentral. Lineage: Eukaryota; Dinophyceae; Prorocentrales; Prorocentraceae.